This 468-nucleotide ribosomal RNA is filed under the name uncultured bacterium. RNAcentral's name for it is "partial 16S ribosomal RNA". It matches the Rfam family "Bacterial small subunit ribosomal RNA", at positions 28 to 507 of the family's 1533-position model. The record is from RNAcentral.
GACGAACGCUGGCGGCGUGCUUAACACAUGCAAGUCGAACGGUAAGGCCCUGCUUUUGUGGGGUGCUCGAGUGGCGAACGGGUGAGUAACACGUGAGUAACCUGCCCUUGACUUUGGGAUAACUUCAGGAAACUGGGGCUAAUACCGGAUAGGAGCUCCUGCUGCAUGGUGGGGGUUGGAAAGUUUCGGCGGUUGGGGGUGGACUCGCGGCUUAUCAGCUUGAUGGUGUGGUAGUGGCUUACCAAGGCUUUGACGGGUAGCCGGCCUGGGAGGGGGAGCGGCCACGUUGCGCUUGGAAUGCGGCCCGGACUCCUACGGUAGGCAGCGGUGGGGUGGAGUGUACAGUGGGCGGAGGCCUGACGUAGCACCGCCGCGUGCGGUGUGAGGGCCAGCGGUUUGUAAUCCACAGCCGCCUGUGACGAGGCGUUAGUGACGGUAACGGGUAAAGAAGCACCGGCUAACUACGUG